UAUUUAUUGGAAUUUUAAUAAUUUAUUUAUUUAUAAUUUAUUUGUUAGAAAUAACUUUAUUUUUAGUAUUGUUUAAGGAAUUAAUAAAUAUUAUUUAUAGUUUAUUUUACUGUAAAGGUAGAAUUUUAAUAAUUUACAAGUAGAAUUAAUUUUUUGUACCUUUUGUAUCAGGGUUUAUUAAAUUAAUUUAUUUACCUAUAAAGUUCCCGAAAUUAAAGGAUCUAUAUUUAUUAUUUGUAGUUUAAUGUUUCAAAAUUAUUAAUAAAUUAAAUAUAGAUGUAAUAUUCUAUUCAUCUUUAAUAUAUCUGGUUCUUUAAUAAUUGAAUUUAAUUCAGAGUUAUUUAUUUAUUAUUUUAUAAUUAUAUUUAAAUUAAUCAUAAAUAACUUAAAGUUAGUGGGGAUAAGCUCAUUAAUUAUUCUAUAAUUAUUUUAAAAUUUAAAUUUAUUUUGUAGAAUUAGAAAUUUUCAUCAAUUAUAUUUUGUUAUAAUUACAUAACAUUUAUGUUUAAUUUAUUAUGUAUUUAGAUUAUUAUUAAGGAUUAUUAUUUAAUAUUUUUUUAUUAGGUAUUAUGAUAAAAUUAGUAAAUUUGGUAUUUUGUUUAUUAAUAUAUAGUAACUCGGCAAAUUUAUUCUUCACCUGUUUAACAAAAACAUGUCUUGAUGAUUUUAAUAUUAAGUCUGGCCUGCUCAAUGAUUUAAUUAAAUAUCCGCAGUAUUCUAACUGUGCAAAGGUAGCAUAAUCAUUUGUCUUUUAAUUGGAGGCUUGUAUGAAUGGUCGGAUGAAGGAAUUACUUUCUUUAUAUUAAAAAUUGAAUUUAAUAUUUUAGUUAAAAAGCUUAAAUUUUUAAGUGGGACGAGAAGACCCUAUAGAAUUUAACUUAAUUAGAUUAUUGAUCAAUUUGGAUUAUACUUGUUUAAUAAUUUAAUUAAGUUUUGUUGGGGUGACAGUGAGAUUAAAUUAACUCUCAUAAUUUAUUUUUUACUUAUUAGUAUAUGAAUGAUCCCUUGUUUUGGAUAUUUAGAUUAAAUUACCUUAGGGAUAACAGCGUUAUUUUUUCUGAGAGUUCUUAUUGAUGAAAGAGUUUGCGACCUCGAUGUUGGAUUAAAAUAAGAUUUAAGUGCAGAAGCUUAAUUUCUAGGUCUGUUCGACCUUUAAAUUUUUACAUGAUCUGAGUUCAGACCGGCGUAAGCCAGGUCGGUUUCUAUCUUCUUAUAUUUAAAUGUAAAUUAGUACGAAAGGACCAUUUACAUCAAAUAGUUUGUUACUUCUGAAUUCUUUUAA
Molecule: ribosomal RNA, 1282 nt
Filed under: Aelia sibirica
Lineage: Eukaryota; Metazoa; Arthropoda; Insecta; Hemiptera; Pentatomidae
Description: 16S ribosomal RNA
Rfam family: Archaeal large subunit ribosomal RNA (bases 848-1211)
Source: RNAcentral